ACGGAAGGCAGCAGUGGGGAAUAUUGCACAAUGGGGGAAACCCUGAUGCAGCGACGCCGCGUGAGUGAAGAAGUAUUUCGGUAUGUAAAGCUCUAUCAGCAGGGAAGAUAAUGACGGUACCUGACUAAGAAGCACCGGCUAAAUACGUGCCAGCAGCCGCGGUAAUACAUAUGGUGCAAGCGUUAUCCGGAUUUACUGGGUGUAAAGGGUGCGUAGGUGGCAUGGCAAGUCUGAAGUGAAAUGCGGGGGCUCAACCCCUGAACUGCUUUGGAAACUGUCAAGCUUGAGUACAGGAGAGGAAAGCGGAAUUCCUAGUGUAGCGGUGAAAUGCGUAGAUAUUAGGAGGAACACCAGUGGCGAAGGCGGCUUUCUGGACUGUAACUGACACUGAGGCACGAAAGCGUGGGGAGCAAACAGGAUUAGAUACCCUGGUA
RNAcentral lists this ribosomal RNA (434 nucleotides) under uncultured Lachnospiraceae bacterium. RNAcentral's name for it is "bacterial SSU rRNA". It matches the Rfam family "Bacterial small subunit ribosomal RNA", at positions 341 to 792 of the family's 1533-position model. The record is from RNAcentral. Lineage: Bacteria; Bacillati; Bacillota; Clostridia; Lachnospirales; Lachnospiraceae.